Ceratitis capitata (Mediterranean fruit fly) is the source of this 1087-nucleotide long non-coding RNA. RefSeq lists it as uncharacterized. The record is from RefSeq and is a predicted model, not a curated record. Lineage: Eukaryota; Metazoa; Arthropoda; Insecta; Diptera; Tephritidae. The transcript has 3 exons.
CAAAAUAUAUUGAACGAAUCUCGUUUUUGACGUUUCGAAACUACGAUUACACAAACAAAAUACAUAGGCUUUUUCUUUUUGUAUUAUUGCUACUGCCGCGUGUUAAAAAAAAAAAAUCCAAAAAUAUCCAAUAGAUACUGAAAAAUUGAUUUGAAAUUUCAUCGGGUAUUUUGGAAAGUGGACCGGGAACUGACCUAUUCGAAAAAAAAAACUCUUGCGUCGCCGCGAAACGGGUGUACUUCAAAAAUUAGCUCCCGAAAGACUGAAAAUGCUACAAUAAUCCGUCCUCUCCGGUUCCCGACCAGGCGCAAUUCAUAGCGCGCUGCAUUUAAUAUUCGUGCGACAGUCGGUAAUUCGAAAAACCAUGAAUCGUACCACCUUUACUCUAGUAGAGAAUACAAAUAUUCAUAGACGCCGUACAGUGCUUACCAAAGACGUUAUUGCAGCUGUAGAAUAGAGCAUCGAAGAGGGCCCAAAUGCCUUCAUCCGCCAUCUCGCGCUGCAAUUGGAUUUGCGCCCAUUUACUUUACAGAAGAUUUUGCGAAAGGAGCUCUGGCUUGCGGCCUUGCAAAAUAUAGCUCGUGCAUGAAGAAAAUCGGCGAAUGGUCUCAAAAUUAUAGGGCCACCGACCCGGAUUUUCACCAAAAAGGCAAAGCAAAGCUAGUCAAUGUCAUCCUAAGAGAGAGUGGGGUUGGAUGAGUGGGCUUUUGAUAUAUAUACUAAGAGGCGUGUGAUAUCUUAUGGAGACUCAUUGCACGCAGAACAUACAAACGUUGGUUGUGUUGGAGUCGGAUCUGGAAAGGUUGGAGUUGAGUAAGCUGCAGUCGCCAGAGCUUAAUUGUGCCAGGUUUUCUUGGAUAUAUACACGCGGUGGUCCGGCUUUUAGCAGAUGAUCAUGGAUCUGUGGUAGUAUCCCAGCAGCCUGGCAAGUCUCGCUAUGCAAAUUGUCUUAUCGCGGUAACGGUGUAUUGACUUGAGAAUUUUAUUGAAUGUCAAUUAAGGUAACUUUAGGCUAAUAGUAGGCAAUAAUUUUGACGUCAUCGAUUUUGGAUUUAAAAAUUUUUCGAAUAUAUAAAAAUAAAGUAAA